GGCAGAGGAGGCGAGCGUUAUCCGGAGUUAUUGGGCGUAAAGCGUCCGUAGGUGGUUUGGCAAGUCUGGGGUUAAAGCCCGGAGCCUAACUCCGGAUCGGCCCUGGAAACUGCCAGACUAGAGUAAGGUAGGGGUUGCGGGAAUUCCCGGUGUAGCGGUGAAAUGCGUAGAUAUCGGGAAGAACACCAGUGGCGAAAGCGCGCAACUGGGCCAUUACUGACACUGAGGGACGAAAGCUAGGGGAGCGAAUGGG
Molecule: ribosomal RNA, 253 nt
Filed under: uncultured bacterium
Lineage: Bacteria
Description: partial 16S ribosomal RNA
Rfam family: Bacterial small subunit ribosomal RNA
Source: RNAcentral